AAGGUUGACCUCGGAUCAGGUAGGAAUACCCGCUGAACUUAAGCAUAUCAAUAAGCGGAGGAAAAGAAACAACAGGGAUUGCCCCAGUAACGGCGAGUGAAGCGGCAACAGCUCAAAUUUGAAAUCUGGCCCUCGGGUCCGAAUUGUAAUUUGCAGAGGAUGCUUUUGGCGCGGCGCCUUCCGAGUUUCCUGGAACGGAACGCCAUAGAGGGUGAGAGCCCCGUCCGGUUGGACGCCUAGCCUAUGUAAAGCUCCUUCGACGAGUCGAGUAGUUUGGGAAUGCUGCUCUAAAUGGGAGGUACAUGUCUUCUAAAGCUAAAUACCGGCCAGAGACCGAUAGCGCACAAGUAGAGUGAUCGAAAGAUGAAAAGCACUUUGAAAAGAGGGUUAAAUAGUACGUGAAAUUGUUGAAAGGGAAGCGUUUAUGACCAGACUUGGGCCCGGUUAAUCAUCCAGCGUUCUCGCUGGUGCACUUGGCCGGCCCAGGCCAGCAUCAGUUCGUCGCGGGGGAUAAAGGUUUCGGGAACGUGGCUCCCUCGGGAGUGUUAUAGCCCGUUGCGUAAUACCCUGCCUCGGACUGAGGUUCGCGCAUCUGCAAGGAUGCUGGCGUAAUGGUCAUCAACGACCCGUCUUGAAACACGGACCAAGGAGUCGUCUUCGUAUGCGAGUGUUCGGGUGUCAAACCCCUACGCGUAAUGAAAGUGAACGCAGGUGAGAGCUUCGGCGCAUCAUCGACCGAUCCUGAUGUUCUCGGAUGGAUUUGAGUAAGAGCAUACGGGGCCGGACCCGAAAGAAGGUGAACUAUGCCUGUAUAGGGUGAAGCCAGAGGAAACUCUGGUGGAGGCUCGCAGCGGUUCUGACGUGCAAAUCGAUCGUCAAAUAUGGGCAUGGGGGCGAAAGACUAAUCGAACCUU
This 914-nucleotide ribosomal RNA is filed under the name Acremonium potronii. RNAcentral describes it as "eukaryotic LSU rRNA". It matches the Rfam family "Eukaryotic large subunit ribosomal RNA", at positions 1 to 943 of the family's 3401-position model. The record is from RNAcentral. Lineage: Eukaryota; Fungi; Ascomycota; Sordariomycetes; Hypocreales; Bionectriaceae.